Rosa rugosa (rugosa rose) is the source of this 625-nucleotide long non-coding RNA. RefSeq lists it as uncharacterized. The record is from RefSeq and is a predicted model, not a curated record. NCBI's taxonomy places the organism in Eukaryota, Viridiplantae, Streptophyta, Magnoliopsida, Rosales, Rosaceae. The transcript is spliced from 2 exons.
GUGUAUAUGGCACAGGAGGUUUCAGAAUGAAGAAACGUCAUUGAGUGCAGCGUUGAUGAAGUCCUUAAUUUCCGAUGAUAUUCAUGGAGGCGAAGUUAAGGAGAUUUCAUCAACGCUGCACCCAAUUAUGUUUCUAUCCCUUCUAGACAUUUGCAAGUGUUUUUAUUAUAGAUCUUCUUCUUCAACAUUGAGAUUCUGGAAAGUUGACUUUUUGAGAAGAAAAAUAAAAGUGCUGUAUCUUUCUGAGGAGAAACGGAAAAUUACAAUGAAAAGCCUCUCGGACAACUAAAAUUUUGAAUAUCCAAAUUGAGAGCUGAAACCACUGUAGCAGAAACGCUAUUGAUCCUAAUCAUCGGAGAAUGAAGAUUAUAGCCACAGGAAGUAACAGCAUCCGCUAAAAAAUUUGCUUCCCAAAAAAUAUGGGAGAAGGAAGAAGCCAACAUCUUGAUAUCCCGGAUGAGAUACUUGAGCUUCCAAGGAACUUCACAGGUCCUCUUUAUACAAUUAAUAACAAAAAGGGACAUCUUUGAGCGCUGAACAUUGUACACUUGUUUUAAUAUAUAAAUAAUUUUCAUGUCAUAUAUUAUACAUGUAACUAGCUAGUAAUUGAACUUUGGUUUAUUUA